Molecule: ribosomal RNA, 450 nt
Filed under: uncultured bacterium
Lineage: Bacteria
Description: partial 16S ribosomal RNA
Rfam family: Bacterial small subunit ribosomal RNA
Source: RNAcentral
GUGGGGAAUCUUCCGCAAUGGACGAAAGUCUGACGGAACAACGCCGCGUGAGUGAAGAAGGUUUUCGGAUCGUAAAGCUCUUUCGUUAGGGACGAACGUGCUCUUUGUGAAUAAUGAGGAGUAAUGACGGUACCUAAAUAAGAAGCCACGGCUAACUACGUGCCAGCAGCCGCGGUAAUACGUAGGUGGCAAGUGUUGUCCGGAAUUAUUGGGCGUAAAGCGCGCGCAGGCGGGAUAUCAAGUCUGUCUUAAAAGUGCGAGGCUCAACCUCGUGAGGGGACAGAAACUGGUAUUCUUGAGUGUCGGAGAGGAAAGUGGAAUUCCAAGUGUAGCGGUGAAAUGCGUAGAGAUUUGGAAGAACACCAGUGGCGAAGGCGACUUUCUGGACGAUGUCUGACGCUGAGGCGCGAAAGCUAGGGGAGCGAACGGGAUUAGAUACCCCUGUAGUCC